Molecule: ribosomal RNA, 305 nt
Filed under: uncultured bacterium
Lineage: Bacteria
Description: bacterial SSU rRNA
Rfam family: Bacterial small subunit ribosomal RNA
Source: RNAcentral
CCUACGGGGCGCAGCAGUGGGGAAUAUUGCACAAUGGGGGAAACCCUGAUGCAGCGACGCCGCGUGAGUGAAGAAGUAUUCCGGUAUGUAAAGCUCUAUCAGCAGGGAAGAUAAUGACGGUACCUGAGUAAGAAGCCCCGGCUAACUACGUGCCAGCAGCCGCGGUAAUACGUAGGGGGCAAGCGUUAUCCGGAUUUACUGGGUGUAAAGGGUGCGUAGGUGGCAGGGCAAGUCAGAUGUGAAAGCCCGGGGCCCAACCCCGGUACUGCAUUUGAAACUGUCCGGCUGGAGUGCAGGAGAGGUAA